CCUACGGGAGGCUGCAGUGGGGAAUAUUGCACAAUGGGGGAAACCCUGAUGCAGCGACGCCGCGUGAGCGAUGAAGUAUUUCGGGAUGUAAAGCUCUAUCAGCAGGGAAGAAAAUGACGGUACCUUACCAAGAAGCCCCGGCUAACGACGUGCCAGCAGCCGCGGUAAUACGGAGGGGGCCAGCGUUAACCGGAUUUACUGGGUGGAAAGGGGGCGGAGACGGCGGUGCAAGCCAGGUGUGAAAGCCCGGGGCCCAACCCCGGGACUGCAUUUGGAACUGUGCGGCUAGAGUGUCGGAGGGGCAGGCGGAAUUCCUGGUGUAGCGGUGAAAUGCGUAGAUAUUAGGAGGAACACCAGUGGCGAAGGCGGCCUGCUGGACGGUGACUGACGUUGAGGCUCGAAAGCGUGGGGAGCGAACAGGAUUAGAUACCCUAGUAGUC
RNAcentral lists this ribosomal RNA (440 nucleotides) under uncultured bacterium. RNAcentral's name for it is "partial 16S ribosomal RNA". It matches the Rfam family "Bacterial small subunit ribosomal RNA", at positions 338 to 795 of the family's 1533-position model. The record is from RNAcentral.